Molecule: ribosomal RNA, 813 nt
Filed under: Bacillus licheniformis
Lineage: Bacteria; Bacillati; Bacillota; Bacilli; Caryophanales; Bacillaceae
Description: bacterial SSU rRNA
Rfam family: Bacterial small subunit ribosomal RNA
Source: RNAcentral
AUGUUAGCGGCGGACGGGUGAGUAACACGUGGGUAACCUGCCUGUAAGACUGGGAUAACUCCGGGAAACCGGGGCUAAUACCGGAUGGUUGUUUGAACCGCAUGGUUCAAACAUAAAAGGUGGCUUCGGCUACCACUUACAGAUGGACCCGCGGCGCAUUAGCUAGUUGGUGAGGUAACGGCUCACCAAGGCAACGAUGCGUAGCCGACCUGAGAGGGUGAUCGGCCACACUGGGACUGAGACACGGCCCAGACUCCUACGGGAGGCAGCAGUAGGGAAUCUUCCGCAAUGGACGAAAGUCUGACGGAGCAACGCCGCGUGAGUGAUGAAGGUUUUCGGAUCGUAAAGCUCUGUUGUUAGGGAAGAACAAGUACCGUUCGAAUAGGGCGGUACCUUGACGGUACCUAACCAGAAAGCCACGGCUAACUACGUGCCAGCAGCCGCGGUAAUACGUAGGUGGCAAGCGUUGUCCGGAAUUAUUGGGCGUAAAGGGCUCGCAGGCGGUUUCUUAAGUCUGAUGUGAAAGCCCCCGGCUCAACCGGGGAGGGUCAUUGGAAACUGGGGAACUUGAGUGCAGAAGAGGAGAGUGGAAUUCCACGUGUAGCGGUGAAAUGCGUAGAGAUGUGGAGGAACACCAGUGGCGAAGGCGACUCUCUGGUCUGUAACUGACGCUGAGGAGCGAAAGCGUGGGGAGCGAACAGGAUUAGAUACCCUGGUAGUCCACGCCGUAACGAUGAGUGCUAAGUGUUAGGGGUUUCCGCCCCUUAAGUGCUGCAGCUAACGCAUUAAGCACUCCGCCUGGGGAGUACGGUC